This 465-nucleotide ribosomal RNA is filed under the name Vreelandella stevensii. RNAcentral describes it as "partial 16S ribosomal RNA". It matches the Rfam family "Bacterial small subunit ribosomal RNA", at positions 338 to 795 of the family's 1533-position model. Lineage: Bacteria; Pseudomonadati; Pseudomonadota; Gammaproteobacteria; Oceanospirillales; Halomonadaceae. The record is from RNAcentral.
CCUACGGGAGGCUGCAGUGGGGAAUAUUGGACAAUGGGGGGAACCCUGAUCCAGCCAUGCCGCGUGUGUGAAGAAGGCCCUCGGGUUGUAAAGCACUUUCAGUGAGGAAGAACGCCUGGUGGUUAAUACCCAUCAGGAAAGACAUCACUCACAGAAGAAGCACCGGCUAACUCCGUGCCAGCAGCCGCGGUAAUACGGAGGGUGCGAGCGUUAAUCGGAAUUACUGGGCGUAAAGCGCGCGUAGGUGGCUUGAUAAGCCGGUUGUGAAAGCCCCGGGCUCAACCUGGGAACGGCAUCCGGAACUGUCGAGCUAGAGUGCAGGAGAGGAAGGUAGAAUUCCCGGUGUAGCGGUGAAAUGCGUAGAGAUCGGGAGGAAUACCAGUGGCGAAGGCGGCCUUCUGGACUGACACUGACACUGAGGUGCGAAAGCGUGGGUAGCAAACAGGAUUAGAUACCCCAGUAGUC